Molecule: long non-coding RNA, 472 nt
Filed under: Heterocephalus glaber (naked mole-rat)
Lineage: Eukaryota; Metazoa; Chordata; Mammalia; Rodentia; Bathyergidae
Description: lncRNA (ENSHGLG00100035029.1)
Source: RNAcentral
GCUGGCUUCGAGGGUCAGCCCGGUGGUCGCCGGGGUCGUGUCUGUGCCUUUCCACCAUCGAGUGAUAGCCCGCCGGGUGGCUGCUCACGCUCGUGGGCCUGUGCAUCUGCCGACAGGCCCUUGGCUGCGGCCAGCUCCGGCUGUUGUGAGCAGUGCCUUUGUGAGCCAUGUGUGCAGGGUCUGCUCGCACGCUGUUCGGGAUUCUCCGGGAACUGACUGACUCCAGCAUCUGCCCGUUGUGACCUCGAGGUUCUGGGGAAGCCAGCCGAGUUUCGCGCUGGCCCCUCAGAGUCCACGCCCCGACCUGUCCCGCCCAGGGGCCCUCAGGGGGCGCUUUAUCCAGCAUUGCACAGGUGAGGAAACUGAGGCGCAGCCGGACACCCUUUCCUCCUCCGGAAGGAACAGGGGUCGGGGAGGAAGAGGAGGUGAGUCCUCCCUGAGCCCAAACCCCUAAAUGCACAACGUCCCGGAC